Molecule: non-coding RNA, 401 nt
Organism: Camelina sativa (false flax)
Lineage: Eukaryota; Viridiplantae; Streptophyta; Magnoliopsida; Brassicales; Brassicaceae
Source: RefSeq, a predicted model, not a curated record
UCACACUUCCAUAGGACUGAGGACUGAUCUGACCUUUGGUAUUUAAAAGAGAAAUCCAUAUCAUCUAAUUCAGGAGAGCAAGUAAGUCAGAGAGGUAUGCAUCUUUUUAGCGUGUGAAUAUAGUUACAUGUUCUUUUUACGUUUUCUUAACCAUUUUUAUUUCUGCAGGAUAAAGACCCGUUAAAACUCCAUUUUUAUUUCUGCUUCACCACAUAAAACUCCACCACAUAUGUUUGACUAUUUCAUUAUAAAUUACAGAUUUCUCUUGUCUUCUAACUCUCUGAUGACUUAGAGAUAUCAUUCUUAUUAUUUCAUUAUGCUCAACAAGCUUGUCCAAGAUAAAGACCAACUCCUCCAGGAUAAUGACUCUUGUUAGAACCUGUAGCAGCUACAACACAAGG